AUUUAAAUAAUUUAAUAUAAAAUAUUGAUUUGUGGUGUCAAAAAUAUGAUAAAUUCAUUUUAAAUU
This 66-nucleotide transfer RNA is filed under the name Cyana sp. MT-2014. Its description in RNAcentral is "tRNA-His". Lineage: Eukaryota; Metazoa; Arthropoda; Insecta; Lepidoptera; Erebidae. The record is from RNAcentral.